Molecule: unclassified non-coding RNA, 463 nt
Filed under: Hevea brasiliensis (rubber tree)
Lineage: Eukaryota; Viridiplantae; Streptophyta; Magnoliopsida; Malpighiales; Euphorbiaceae
Source: RNAcentral
GUGGAGGGUGGACAAGCAUAGAGGACAUAAAAAAGCACCAUCCAGUUUUGUUGUUGCACUCAAUGAAUCUAUAAUAUGAUAACAAUGCUCCCUAAGUCGACCUAUGUUUCCUGUGGGCUGAUUCCAUAGAAGCCAAUUUUUCAUGCUUCCUCAUGGGCAACAAAAAAGUGGAUAACUAAUGCGAUACACUACCGCUCUAUUUGGAAGGUGGUAGAGCAAUGUAAGGGUUUUUAAAGAAAGGUUUUUUAAAAAUAAGGUUUCUCAUGGUUUUUGAACCAUUAUAAUUUUUGGUUGUUUGAGAGGAAGUGAAGGUUUUGAAGAGAAAAACUUUUCAACCCACCAAUUGGAAGAUGGAGGUUUUUGGAGGUUUUCAAAAACCUCCAAGAACCUUACUUUAAAAAAUCAUGGUUUCUCCCAAAUACAAAUCUACGGCUUCAAAACUUUAUAAAAUCUCCAAUUACUU